Molecule: long non-coding RNA, 1142 nt
Organism: Dromiciops gliroides (monito del monte)
Lineage: Eukaryota; Metazoa; Chordata; Mammalia; Microbiotheria; Microbiotheriidae
Exons: 3
Source: RefSeq, a predicted model, not a curated record
AAUAGAGGCGGCCCGAGCCUCGCGCUCGCUCUCUCCCCGGGUCGGGGCUGCCGGGCGCCCGGGGGCGCAGAGGGGGAGCCCUGGGGAAUCGGGGAGCUGUGCAGCCCAGGAGAGGGGAGGCGAGCUGAGGGGUGGGCACAGGAAGACUGACACCCCAAGACGAAGUUUAGAGACACUCGCCGGAAGAAGGCAGAAAGCAUCCAGACGUGAGGAGCGUUUAAAGAUGCCCGGGAGCCGGAGAAAACACAUUCAUUCAAGGAGCCUGAGACGUAAUUAAAACCCCUGCUUGCCAGGGAGAGGAGCUAAGAGUGGGACUGUUCCCUCGAUUGUGAACCAGCGCAGGGGCCAAAGAAUAGACUCAUUUAGCGAAAUAUCCGCCCAGUGCUGUGCUGGAUCUGGCUUAGGACUUCGGGAGGGAGCCACUGAACCGGCCUCUAAGCCCCGCUAGCCCGCUUCUGGUGGGGAAGAUUUCGGAUCCGCUGCCCCCUGUCAUACUUCCUACCCACUUAACCCAUGUUGGAAUCUCAAUCCUCUCCCUGCCCUCCUCUCUUUCGCUGUCUCUAGGCUAGCUUUUUCUCUCCAUCCCCUGGAGAGGAAGGAAAGUUAGUACCACGCCAAGCAGAGGAGCUGAUCCACCCACCCCACAAGCUCCUGACCCUUCCCACCACUGACCCCAACAUAAACCAGUCCAGAGUCAGACGUGAUCAGAUUCAAGCUGAUGAGCCUGGGGUGUGAGGGGUGGAAAGUGGGAACAUCAGGUAGAGAAAGAAGCGAGAGGAGAGCAGCCAAGUGAGUGGGCAGCCACGCUGGCCCCUGGGAACCAAGGAAGAGUAAAGGUUUGGCCCACUGAAAGGGAGAAAAGAGGGAGAAAGGCAGGAGGAGCCCUGCCUUCCAGGAGAGGGGCCCUCUCAUCCAAUAAAUUACUGAGCUCAACUAUUCUUUGCUCUUCCCACGUGGAUUUUCUGAGGAUCGAUAGGAGAAGUAAUACACUACCUGCAGUAUUUCUUGUGCAUGAUCAGAACAUCUCAUCUGCAUAAUUGGCCUCGGGGAGAAAGAUCAAUAUAAAUGCCCAUUAUUGGCCUACUUGAUCAGCUCUUCUCAGCAAUACAAGGAUCAAGACAAUUCCAACAAACUUAAGAUGG